AUAUGCAUGCAUUAUGAGUAUACGUAACUUUAAUGCACUUAGGUUUUUUGGUUUAAAUCUUGAAGAUAGUUAAAUUCAGCAGCACUAGAUCUAUCUCAGCCUUCUGAAGGGUUUUUUUAAUUUCAAUCCCAUUUCCCAUGAGGGGGGAGAAAUGCAGCUAAGUAAGUUGACUGCAGGCCACACCUGGCAGAGAGGACCGUUGAGGAGGGAGACCCAGAUGCCAGCCCCGGGGCAGGCAACAGGUCGGUAUUAUUGCUCUAGAGCUGUUUUUGUCGUUCUCUGAUCUUUUCCAGCCACCGGCUGUUUUCAUGUGGUUGUUUUCACAGUGCAGAAACAAUUUUGCCUGCUUCUCUCCCUUAACGUUGCUGUAAACAAGUUUCCCAUGUCAUGCAGAACUAUGACUGGAGACGUGCUAUUUCACACUGCUCAUGUGCCAAGGUUACGUGACCAUGCCCUCGUGUGCAAUACUAAGUUUAUUUCAAACCGUUAUUCUAAAAGAUGCUGCAGUGUAUACUCUACAUGGACUAUGGAGCAGUCAGAAACAAUGAACUAAAGCUACACAUAGCAACAUAGAUGUUUUAUAACAAGAGGAAAAAGAAGCAGGAAGAGAUUUCAUGGCAGAAAACCACAUAGGUAAAUUUACACACAAAACAAUAUCACAUCUUUUACAAGGAUAUAUGUACAUCUAGGCUAUGUAUCAAACACAAGAAAUAGGUGUCUUUAAAAGGAAGGGAUAUGUGAUAAGGGACGGAUAAAGAAUGAGAAGGCAAGACACCAUAAAACUCCUAGAAGAGAACAUGGACAAAACAUUCUCUGACAUCAACCAUGCAAACGUUUUCUUAGAUCAGUCUCCCAAGGCAAUAGAAAUAGAAAUAAAAACAAAAAUAAACCAGAGACCUAAUCAAACUUACAAGCUUUUGCACAGCAAAGAAAACCAUUAAAAAAAAAAAAGAGAGAGAGAUAACCUAUGGAAGGGGAGAAAAUAGUUGCAAACGAUGUGACUGACAAGGGCUUAAUCUCCAAAAUAUCCAAAAAGCUCAUACAACUCAACAGUUAAAAAAAAAAAAAAAAGAAAGAAAAAGAAAAAAAAAAGAAAAGAAAAA
Molecule: long non-coding RNA, 1103 nt
Filed under: Sus scrofa (pig)
Lineage: Eukaryota; Metazoa; Chordata; Mammalia; Artiodactyla; Suidae
Description: lncRNA (ENSSSCG00040029848.1)
Source: RNAcentral